This 78-nucleotide microRNA precursor is filed under the name Ovis aries (sheep). RNAcentral's name for it is "miRNA (ENSOARG00000021752.1)". The record is from RNAcentral. Lineage: Eukaryota; Metazoa; Chordata; Mammalia; Artiodactyla; Bovidae.
UAUUGGGUUGGCCAAAAGGUUUGUUUGGGUUUUUCCAUAACAUCUUACAGAAAAACACAAAUGAACCUUUUGGCCAAU